AAAGAGGCCCGAGGCAGUAAGAACUGCUAAUUCUUAUUUGACCACGGUUAAACUCCG
This 57-nucleotide transfer RNA is filed under the name Mystus bocourti. RNAcentral's name for it is "partial tRNA-Ser". Lineage: Eukaryota; Metazoa; Chordata; Actinopteri; Siluriformes; Bagridae. The record is from RNAcentral.